Nomascus leucogenys (northern white-cheeked gibbon) is the source of this 624-nucleotide long non-coding RNA. RefSeq lists it as uncharacterized. The record is from RefSeq and is a predicted model, not a curated record. Lineage: Eukaryota; Metazoa; Chordata; Mammalia; Primates; Hylobatidae.
UUUUUCUCGAGGUCGGCCGCGUGGCUGGAAGUCAUGGCCGCUCCCGUCGGUGUUGAGCACGGCGAGCAGCCUCAGGCCUUUAGUGAUGAUGAGGCCUUUCUUUGUUUGGCAUCUGCAGAGACGGGGAAAAGCAGAGCGCCAGGUUGAAGGACCAGAGUAAUGGAUGGAGCCCUAACAUGAGUAAGAGUGGGUGCAGGCAGGGCCUGAGUGGUCACUAGAAAUGAGAAAGCACAGUUGGUGCCAUCACAUACAUUCACCUCCUGCUUUAUUCUGAAGUUCAAGUGUGAGAAUACGUGCUGACAUACAAGCCAGCUAUGAUUGAAGGUGUUGGCUGUGGCCUUGAAAGCAGUCAUGUGAAAACUCAUCACCUUAAGGUGUUAAGUGUAAGGAUCUUAAUGAUGAAGUUUCUGUAAAUGGUGCAGUCAGCCUCAGUUUCCAAAGCCGGAAAAGGAUCCUCUAGUAGCCAUGGUGUGGCAGCUGCCCUGAACCAGGACCUGGACCCCGGACCCAAAGUGCCAUGUCUUUAAUGCAUGUUAGCUCCCAGCGAUGCCAGAUGGGAUCAGCACAGCCCUGCCUCUGCUGCUAAUUGUUCUUCUUCUUUUCUUUUUUUUUUGAGACGGAGUC